RNAcentral lists this small nucleolar RNA (128 nucleotides) under Octodon degus (degu). RNAcentral's name for it is "Small nucleolar RNA SNORA8 (ENSODEG00000022606.1)". It matches the Rfam family "Small nucleolar RNA SNORA8". Rfam says of the family: ACA8 is a member of the H/ACA class of snoRNA that guide the sites of modification of uridines to pseudouridines. Lineage: Eukaryota; Metazoa; Chordata; Mammalia; Rodentia; Octodontidae. The record is from Rfam by way of RNAcentral.
AGCAUACGCAUUCAACAGUUUAUUCCGGCUGAUGUGUUCAAAAGAGUGCGAUAGAAAUUUGGUAUCUGGCAUCACUGGGUUUUUUUGGCUUUGUGCAUGUUAAACCUGGUAUUUCUAUUAAUACACUG